GCAGUAGCCGCGGUAAUACGUAGGGUGCAAGCGUUAAUCGGAAUUACUGGGCGUAAAGCGUGCGCAGGCGGUUUGUUAAGACAGAUGUGAAAUCCCCGGGCUCAACCUGGGAACUGCAUUUGUGACUGGCAGGCUAGAGUAUGGCAGAGGGGGGUGGAAUUCCGCGUGUAGCAGUGAAAUGCGUAGAUAUGCGGAGGAACACCGAUGGCGGAGGCAGCCCCCUGGGCCAAUACUGACGCUCAUGCACGAAAGCGUGGGGAGCAAACAGGAUUAGAUACCCCUGUAGUCCCUGUCUCUUAUAC
Molecule: ribosomal RNA, 302 nt
Filed under: uncultured bacterium
Lineage: Bacteria
Description: partial 16S ribosomal RNA
Rfam family: Bacterial small subunit ribosomal RNA
Source: RNAcentral